ACAAUUUCCUACUAAGGCUGGUAGGGAAUGAUAAUGUUUUGAUAGUUAAGUUGGGAAAAGGGGGAUACAAGGAAAAUUUUCUGUGGUUAAUUACAAGUGUUACAUAAGGUGAAGAGUGUGCUGGUAGGAGUAAAUCGUAAUGUUAAAAUUCUCGAAGUAAUGAAACUAGUAAUCGAGAUAGGACUAAGAAAUAAAAAGAAAGUUAAAGUUGAUGAUGGGAUAGACAUCUUUGAAGGAAAAGGUGUAAGGAUGAGAUAGGACUAAAAUUAAGGAAUAAGUACAGCAGGUUGAAAUGAUACCAACAAUACCAAAAAUAGG
Molecule: unclassified non-coding RNA, 318 nt
Filed under: Hevea brasiliensis (rubber tree)
Lineage: Eukaryota; Viridiplantae; Streptophyta; Magnoliopsida; Malpighiales; Euphorbiaceae
Source: RNAcentral